This is a small nucleolar RNA of Eublepharis macularius, 138 nucleotides long. Lineage: Eukaryota; Metazoa; Chordata; Lepidosauria; Squamata; Eublepharidae. The record is from RefSeq and is a predicted model, not a curated record.
CAGGCCUUGAAUGAAGGCUGAUGCUGUUCUUUAUAGCCAUUGGCUUCAAGCAGCACCCGAGAAUAGCAUCUUUUCUGUGAUCUGUUGGCUGUUUUGAAUUUCAGAAUGAAACAGCCACUUCACUGAGGAGAAACAAGC